UGUUGGAGACAGGUAAACAAUACAGUCAAUACGUAUUAUUAGUAAAAUGUAUUGUGUUGUGGUUAAACUGCGUAUGGGUUAUAGAUAUUUAGCGAGUGUGUGGCAAUAAUCAUCAUCUAUGCAGCUCAGAUUCUGAUUUCACUGAAGAUGCCAAGGUUGGGAGUCAUCAAGAAGUAAGAUUACAUUUGUACAGUCUGGACAAUUUUAAGUGUCAUGGUAUGCUUUAUUGUGUAAUAUUCAUUCAACUUCAAUAAGCCACAUAUUGUCUCCUCUCAGCAGUUGAUUAAAACCAAGUGAACAUCAUGUUAUGAAUUGUCUCUCCUCUUCUACAGCACAUGGACAAAGACAACGAUGCCACGGGUGACGGUUUGGACUCUGACUUCGAGCAACCCAGUGGGCACGGUGUAAAUAGCAGUGAUGGUGAAAGGGAGAGGAUGAAUGAUGAGCCUGAAAAACACUCCCUUGAUGAGCGCACAGACAAAGACAGCGAUGGCACGGGCGACGCUAUGGACUCCGACUUCGAGCAGUCCCUUAACGAGCACAUGGAUAGCGAUGGCACAGAGUCAAUCAUCUACUCUGAUUUUGAG
Molecule: long non-coding RNA, 587 nt
Organism: Neoarius graeffei (lesser salmon catfish)
Lineage: Eukaryota; Metazoa; Chordata; Actinopteri; Siluriformes; Ariidae
Exons: 4
Source: RefSeq, a predicted model, not a curated record